Sebastes umbrosus (honeycomb rockfish) is the source of this 2393-nucleotide long non-coding RNA. RefSeq lists it as uncharacterized. NCBI's taxonomy places the organism in Eukaryota, Metazoa, Chordata, Actinopteri, Perciformes, Sebastidae. The transcript is spliced from 3 exons. The record is from RefSeq and is a predicted model, not a curated record.
GUAACGAAAUAACAACGAUUCUUAUUUCCAGGUGAUUUUUACACUAAAGAAAACAUACUUAUUAAUAUUAUAUUCAAUUUCUGCCAAUAGAUCCCCCUAAAUGCUACACACUGUUCCUUUAAGUAACUUUAAAUCCCAAUAUGUGCUUUAGCUCCUCUAACUGGAAUCAGUCACUGUCAUGCAAUAAAACAACUACAGUUGGUUUUACUUUGAUGCCACGUUAAAGGAUUCAUCUUUUAGAUUUGCUUCCACCUUUGUGGAAGUUAAUUUACUCUUUCUAAGCUACAUUUGUUCUAAUCAAACAAAGUAAAUAUGCACAUAUAUAAAUCACAGUAAGGAUAUUUUAAAGUCUUAACCUGAAAUGAGAUUUUUUUCUUCUGUAAAUGUUUUCUUCUUGUUAAAAUGCUACUUUGUGUUUGUAUUUGCACUUGAUUUAUAUAAACUUCCUGUCUUCAAGUAUUAUCUUUUGUCAUGAUCUGUGUGAUUAGUAUGUUUGUGAGGGAGCGCAGCGCGGUGAAUCGACAAGAAGCCACAUGCAGGAUCAGUGGAGGAUGCUGGGUGUACGUUGUGGCACACAACCCGGACAAAUAAAAACGAAACCCAGUUUUAUCAGAUUAUCAGCAUCACAUUUUGGUUCUGCAUAAAAAUGUUCACUGUAAUGUUGAGAGUUUUACAAAAAUGUUCCCUGAUAGCUGUUUGCUCAGACUAUAUUUCAACAAUUGAAUAAUAAUCCAUAGUGAGUUCAGCCUUAGUACCAAUUUUGUAAAGAUGUUUUCUGCAUUUUUAAAUUCAUGGAUGUCUUGUUUGUAUCUUCCGUCAUAACUUUUGAACAAGAUGUCUGAAACAAACACUGACAUUUAAAUAUUAUAUAUAUAUUUUUAUAUUUUGGGAAAAGAACAUUUUUAAUCUGAUCUCUAGCACACUUUAGUUUAAUUGCAAGUGCCAGAUGUCUAUGCAAAUAUCUCAAAUGAGGUAAUUUAAGUCAUUUCAGUCACAGUCCAUAAUGAGCAGAAUCCAACUUUUGUCAGUCAUUUUGAACAUUAUUUAAAACCUUUCUUUUUCAGUAAUGAGGCUGUAAUUUGUAAUUCAGUGUGCUGCUCAACUGAAACUGAUGCAAUGUGACAACUGUGACCACGCUGCAUGAUUUAUCACUCGACGUGCAAUUUUAUAACCAACAAUAAAACGUGUAAUUUGCAGUGUUAGCUGAGAAAAUAGGAGGCUUCUUUCUUCCAACAGAAAACAGGUAAUCAAACAAUGAUGAUCAAACCAGUCGUUGUUUUUCUGUUCAGCUCUCCAACACCUCUCUGCAGCAGCAGCAGCCUCCUUCCCCCACCUCGCAGCACUCUGGAGAGACUCUUUGUUUUUCAUGGUGGAUUCCUGCUCUCACCCUGAACUCUCCUCUCUGCUGACUCAGGCGACAGGAGAUGCAGCGUUUAGGGAGACGGGCGCCAUUUUCCCCUUAAUUGUUUUCCUAACAGACAAAUGAGAGGUGCAGCUCUCGUUAAUCGUGCUGACCUUUUACCUAACCGAGAUGUGAUUGGCCUUAAGCACACCUGCUUGACAAAAAGACGCUUACAGUGCUUUGAGUGAGCUACUGUACUGGUUAAAAUACGCCUUUUGAUGGUGUUUAUUUGGACAAUAAGGAAUCUCUUUGCAUGUAUUUGCACCUGCAGUGAGUAUAGGAUAUCCUGGAAACUCAAAACAAGGCCCCUUUUAGCAACUGCAGCUGUUUGUAAAAAGGUGAGACUGCUGCAGUGUGUUUUACCUUCCCGCCUCCCCCCCCUGUUCCUCGCUUGUCUCUCUGUUUCUUAGCUUACAAAACAUCAUCAGGGUCAGACGGCAGGGCUCAUCUCUAAAGCCUCGGGGUCAUUAGGACGAGAUUCCUUCCGUUUCUUUUGACAGGUGAAUACUGAGGUGGUUUGGUGAAAGAGCCGCCGCACAAUAGUGACUACUUUCCCCCUUUUUCUUUUUCACAGGUUUCACCGUCUGGAUGGGAAUUAUUUCUGUGUUCCCUUUCUGCUGGAAUUCAGAGGAAAUACCGGCCAACAGACAGACUCAGGCUGUUAGCUAGCUGCUUCCUCUCGGCUCCGACCACAUAGUGGUUCUUCUCGAAGGCUCUCUCCAGACGGAGCAGCUGAGACGGAGAGAAGGCCGUCCGGAUGCGUUUAGGUUUCCUGGCGAAGGGGCCGUGGAGGAGCAGGCUGUCCUGGGACACGUCGUUACCUGAGACACCGGAGAGGAAGAAAGAGACAACAAGAAGCGGUUCCGUAGGACCCAGGGGUAGAAGUUGAGCGGGUCUCGAUGUUGCGUGCCGAAGAAGUGCGGAUGCUGCAGGUGGUGAGAUCCUCCGAGCUGGUGAGGAGCCACGGUGAGAGAGGGGUGGUUCUCUGGGA